UGGUGGGCUGCCGUCUAUGGGGUCACACACAGUUGGACACGACUGAAGUGACUUAGCAGCAGCAACAGCUUCUUCACAAACCUGCUGUGGGCCAGGUAGUUUCCAGACUGAGGAUAAAGAAAUGAAGCACUGUGGUCUCUUGAAGAUCUUAAACUGGGAGGAAGCAGGCUCUGAGAUGAUGGCAGGAGACACUCUACACUGAGCAACCUCCUCAAUGAUGCUUAUUCACAGACCACAGUUUGACUAGCAGGGGACAAAGAACUAAAGACAGCUUUGCAUCCUCAGCGGCUGAGUCUGGCACUAGGUUCGUUACUGGAUGGAGAAGAUUAAACUGUCAGUUGACAUUAACUUGUACUUAAAAAUUCAACAGCUCCUGGCUGUUGCCCACCUCAGGCUAUGUGAUCCAGGCGAAGCUGCCACACCGGCCAGUUUGCAGGGGUGAGGAGUUGCCUGAGCCGAGCUCAUCUGCAUGGUCUUUGCAGCCCCACGAGUUGGUGUUGGGGUAGCAUGGUCCCAGGCUGGUCCAAGGAGCGUGAACCCCAAGACACAGGAAGACCCAGAGAACUGACUACCCAUACCCUCACCACCGACCGACUCUGAGCCAAGAAAUGACAGACAACCCAUUUGACCUGGAUUUCUUGGUGUAAAACGUAAGCUUACACUUACCAGAAUGGAAAAGACUGCCUUGAAGGGGCCUGGACUGGCUCUCACUGAUCCUUAGGAGUACAACCUGGAGCUUGGCAGCUCACCUUCAAUCCUGGCUCUGCCCCUCGCUCGAGCUGUGUGACCUUGGACAGUAACUUCUCCGUUUCUCAGCUUUGUUUGUAAACUAGAACAGUGUCUUAGAAGAAUGCCUGGCCAUUAGUGCCCAAUGCCUUAGCUACUUAAUACUGGUUUCUUUUUUUUUUUUGGCCAAAUUUCAUGGUUUUAGUAACAGGUACACAGUGCGCACAGAA
Odocoileus virginianus texanus is the source of this 956-nucleotide non-coding RNA. The record is from RefSeq and is a predicted model, not a curated record. NCBI's taxonomy places the organism in Eukaryota, Metazoa, Chordata, Mammalia, Artiodactyla, Cervidae.